Molecule: ribosomal RNA, 940 nt
Filed under: uncultured bacterium
Lineage: Bacteria
Description: bacterial SSU rRNA
Rfam family: Bacterial small subunit ribosomal RNA
Source: RNAcentral
UAGAGUUUGAUCCUGGCUCAGGAUGAACGCUAGCGACAGGCUUAACACAUGCAAGUCGAGGGGCAGCGGGGAGGUAGCAAUACUUCCGCCGGCGACCGGCGCACGGGUGAGUAACACGUAUGGAACCUGCCCGUAGCAGGGGGAUAAGCGGAAGAAAUUCCGUCUAAUACCGCGUAAUAACUCCGAGAGGCAUCUCCUGGGGUUUAAAGGGUAACACCGGCUACGGAUGGCCAUGCGGCGCAUUAGCUAGUUGGCGGGGUAACGGCCCACCAAGGCGACGAUGCGUAGGGGUUCUGAGAGGAAGGUCCCCCACACUGGUACUGAGACACGGACCAGACUCCUACGGGAGGCAGCAGUGAGGAAUAUUGGUCAAUGGGCGCGAGCCUGAACCAGCCAAGUCGCGUGAGGGAAGACGGUCCUAUGGAUUGUAAACCUCUUUUGUCGGGGAGCAAAAGACGCCACGCGUGGCGUUCCGAGAGUACCCGAAGAAAAAGCAUCGGCUAACUCCGUGCCAGCAGCCGCGGUAAUACGGAGGAUGCGAGCGUUAUCCGGAUUUAUUGGGUUUAAAGGGUGCGCAGGCGGAAGAUCAAGUCAGCGGUAAAAUUGAGAGGCUCAACCUCUUCGAGCCGUUGAAACUGGUUUUCUUGAGUGAGCGAGAAGUAUGCGGAAUGCGUGGUGUAGCGGUGAAAUGCAUAGAUAUCACGCAGAACUCCGAUUGCGAAGGCAGCAUACCGGCGCUCAACUGACGCUCAUGCACGAAAGUGUGGGUAUCGAACAGGAUUAGAUACCCUGGUAGUCCACACAGUAAACGAUGAAUACUAAUUGUUCGGGGAGAAUGAUCCCUGAGUGAUACAGCGAAAGCGUUAAGUAUUCCACCUGGGGAGUACGCCGGCAACGGUGAAACUCAAAGGAAUUGACGGGGGCCCGCACAAGCGGAGGA